AGCAGCCGCGGUAAUUCCAGCUCCAAUAGCGUAUAUUAAAGUUGUUGCAGUUAAAAAGCUCGUAGUUGAAUUUCGGAGUUUGUCGGUUGGUCGGGCUUCACUGUCCGCACUGGCCUGAUGGAUUCCUACCUUCUGAAUAACCAGCAUGCUAUUAAUUUAGUGCGUUGGGGAAGCAGAGCUAUUACCUUGAAAAAUUAGAGUGCUUAAAGCAGGCUUACGCUUGAAUAGAUUAGCAUGGAAUAAUAAAAUAGGACGGCUUGGUUCUAUUUUGUUGGUUUCUAGGAUCACCGUAAUGAUUAAUAGGGAUAGUUGGGGGCAUUAGUGUUCAAUUGUCAGAGGUGAAAUUCUUGGAUUUAUUGAAGACUAACUUCUGCGAAAGCAUUUGCCAAGGAUGUUUUCAUUAAUCAAGAACGAAAGUUAGGGGAUCGAAGACGAUCAGAUACCGUCGUAGUCUUAACCAUAAACUAUGCCGACUAGGGAUCGGACGAUGUAAUUUUUUAAUGACUCGUUCGGCGCCUUA
This 520-nucleotide ribosomal RNA is filed under the name uncultured Glomeromycotina. RNAcentral describes it as "SSU rRNA". It matches the Rfam family "Eukaryotic small subunit ribosomal RNA", at positions 569 to 1090 of the family's 1831-position model. The record is from RNAcentral. Lineage: Eukaryota; Fungi; Glomeromycota.